AAUAUAAAUCAACCUUAAGUGGUCUACUAUAUGUAAUAGGAAUGUAAUAUUGGAGAAUAAUGCUAAUUGUGAUUUGAUCUCUUAAAGAUAUCAAUCCUAUAUAAGGUGUCUUAUAUUGGAAAUAGGAUUGAUAGAAUCCUUAAUUGAAUAUGAUUAUGAUAUUUUACUUGAGAGCCAAGAAAGGAGAGUUUUAGUUUUCCCUUAUGGACGGAAUCUAAGACUUUUUGGCUAGUAUAUAAACACCGGUCCCUGCUAACCCUAGACACGAUAACAAAAGCUUUCCAUAGAGCAUUGUCAUAAAGCUAGGAGUUUACAGAAGAGUUGGUGUUUCUGUUUGUCACGGCAAACAUAAAGAUUGGAGUUUUAUCGAUCACGUCUUGCUUGCAUGGAAGCUGCACAUUCGAUAACUACCAUUGGAAUCAGGUCAGUCACUCUUUCGUUUGUGUUUUAAUUGUAUAACCGUAUAAGGCUAACAAUUGGUAUCAGAGCCACUGGUUAUAUAAUUAAAACCUAUUCGGUUUAAUGUUGGAUUAUAUAAUAUUCUCUUGAACUGCGUGUUUAAUCCAAAUUCUCAUUGCAUAUUCUCGGCAACAUAACCAUGCGAUUUGAAUAAGUUCAAUUGUUAAUUAUGAUCAGGUUGCAUAAUUAUUCAGUUUCAAUCAAGAAUAUUUUUCACUAAUAUUAUGGUUGCAGUCAAGGGAAAUUUAUUAAGAACUAUGCUAAUUGAUACCUUGAUUAUUAUCAGCAAGACAAGUUGCCUGAUUAUAGCACGAAUCCAUAAUAUUGUAUGCGGUGUAUUAUAUAUAACCACAUAGCUUUGCUUGCCAAUUGGAAAUUGAACUACGCUUAGAGGUGCUUUUGAUCAAGCAUGAAUUAAAUUAUGGAAUAAGCUUCGAAUCCCAACAGUUUUUUAAACUAUACCUAUUUUAAUUGCAGACAAUAUGGUUUAGUUGAUAGUUUUUGAUCAGGCAUCUUUAUUGCAUAAAAUAUGUUUGGGUCGAACCACCAAAGUCUGGAGAUUGCUAAUAUUUUGAUCAAGCAAGAGCAUGUAAUUUUUAUUUGAUUAGUCAAAUUUGAUUACCACCAAUAGUUCUGAUAAGGGGAUGUUAAAGAAAAUUGAUUAGUUAGUUCAUUGGAUUAACUAUGACUGGAAACCAUGGCAUAUUUCAGAUUUUCUAUUUUAAAGUUGAUGUUUUGGUUGGAAUGUUUAACCAUGUACUACGGAUGUCUUUGUCAAGUUUGUAAGCAUAUGCAAAUACACAUUUACAUUGGAAAAGUGAUGCGGCCUCUCAAUUUAGCAAGCCGACCUCUGCCAAAGCAGAGCAUUGUGUUUCAUCGACUCAAUUCGGAUUUGGGUUUUUGGUGUAAUCUUUUCCCUUGGUCUUAAUUGCUGACAAGAUUUUGUGGUGGAUUUAAAAGGUGAUUUUUUGGUUCUUGCAUAACUUACAUAUGCCGUGACAUCUCCUUAUUACUUGGAAUAUUAUGUUUUUGGUUCCUUGUUUUGGUGGCAUCAAAGAGUUUUCGUGCUAGCAUAACCAACUAAUUAUUCAGAACCCAAUUUUGACUGUAACCUAAUUCUUAGAAUUAAGAAAGAGGCGUAACAGUUCAAAUAUUGCUUGACAUCUUUCGGAAUGUUGGUAACGGAAUUGUUCACUUUUAGAUGUCUCAAUACUAUUAUUGGUAUAUGAUUUGUGCCUAUAUAUAUGAUUGUGGUAACAUAUAUUACAGUUGUGUUGCAGGAAUGCAUAUGCUAAGUUUAUAUAUGUCUAUAUUUGAAAGCAGGUCAAUAUAAAUUUUGGCAAUUUUUGUUAUUGCAUCUAUAGCAUCACGGAUAUGUUUCAAAGAUGUGUAAGGUGACACAAUGUCUUCCAUGACCGUAGCAUAUGAUAAAUUGUAACUAAUUUGCUUGAACCAAAAUUUUAAUAUUGUUAAGCAAAUGGCAUGUAUAGUGUUGCUUGUAUGGCUAAUUUGGUUCAAGCAUGAGAUAACAUAUUUUUAAUAUUGCCAUGGGUUUUGGACUAUAGUGAAUUGUAGUGUUGUUUUCGCUAAUUUUUACGAGAUGUGAAUGAACUUUUAUGCCAUUAAUAGCACAAGAAAUAUGCAUGACUAAUCAAUCAAGUUUGUCUACAAUUUGCUUUCUUAUCUCAAAAGUCAUUUAAAUUAUACAUGACUAGUUACUUGUGAAAAAUUGAUGUAUAAUUUUUGAAUUGACUGAGAAUGACAGAAAGCAUCCAGUGACAAGAACAAUGGUAUUAUACAAAUGAAUAAGGUUUGUAGAAAUUAUGUGACAAUUCUCAUUUGUAUUUUUAUCUAUUCUUAUAUGAGAAUUUUGGUUGGUCAUGUGAUUAUACAUAUGUUUACAAAGAAGUGAUGAACAUAUGAAGGCAUGAGGUAUGUAAUCCAUUCAAAGUAUGUGGCUUAAUUGAUAAGCAUGAAUUUUCAAACAUGUAUUAUUGUUUGUGGUUUUUCCUAUGCCUAAAGAAUUUAAACAGUGCUUUGAUUAGUAAUUUUUAUAUGUCAUAAGGGGAGAAGAAAAGAAACUUUUCAAGGCUAAUGUAGGGCAUAUAUUGGAAAUGUUUUCUAUGGAAGAAAAUAAUUUUGGUAGUUCCUUUAUUUAAUUGGUAUUUACAAGGCUAAUGCAUAAUUUUGAUGCUAAUGUUUUAGGAGCCUUGUACUACGCAAAGAAAGGUACAAAAGAAAAGGAACCCGUUUGACUUAAGAAAACAUUUGAGCAAUUUAUUUUUUAAAUUAAAGGAAUGUAUUGUUCUUUCCCAUUACAUAAAGUAUUUCUAUUAAGUAAUUGACUCCAUAAUGAUAAGUAUUGACAUUCUUGUGGUGGAAUAAAACUUGUUCUAUAUGUGAUUAAUCUCUUUCAAGUAUGCUGUCAGGUUUUGAGAUUAAUUUAAUGUCAAAGGGAGUCAUGAAGAAAUUAGUGCCAUUUGUUGGCUAGACUUGAAGCUCGAAUCAGGUUAUCAUAAUUUUGUCACUUACAGUUAAUUAAUUCAUGUGACAUCUUGUAUUGUUUCAGGGCGGAGUUGACCAAUACCUUUUCAACUAAGGAAGACACAAUGGCUUAGUUCACGAUGGGACUGUGUUUUUUGAGUUACUUCGGUCAACUUUGCAUCUUAAUUAAAAUAAAAGGGAUAAUCUUCUUGCCUACAGGUGUGGAUUACUUCUUUUAGUUUAAUUAAGAUGGCAUAGUAUGGGUUUUAUUUCACAGAAGUUGUGAAAACCUUCAUCUUGCCUACAGGUGUUGAAGUUUUUCAUGAAGGAACUUUUGUGACAUAAAAUCUAGUACUAGAAACUAGUUAUUUUUCUUGCCUACAGGUGUAAAUUAAUUUAGUUUCAUGAAGUAUUGGGAUAAAGUUCCAUGCCAUUAGUGACAAAUAUUUCCACAAUGAGCCCCAUAAAAGGUUGUGGUUUGAAGGCAUGGAAAUCGGUUGCAUCAUGACGUAUUUUGUGUCUCUUCAUGAGACUUGUUGAUGCAACGUAUUGGACCCAUAAAGGUUAAUCAAGGAUUGCUAAGGUACGCAUUGUUUAAGUCUUUAUGCUUGAAAAUCUUUUCAAUUUGAACUAUGAUGUCGGUUUAGAGGAUGAAAUUUGACUACUAAAGUUUCCUUUGGACAUCGAAAUUGAAAUGAUAUGAAAUUGAAUUUGUUAUGGAUGCAUAAAUUCAUGAUAGAAGCACAUAAUUGUUUUUGGCAGAUUACGUGUCUUGAUUUAAAUCGGAUGAAUGACAUGUCUAAUGGUCACCAAAUGACCUGAAUUUUGGAUAUGUUUAACAUAUAGAUGUCUAAUAUGUGUCUGCAAAUUUUCGUAAUUUUCUGCCAUGUAUGUUAAUUAUGGUGAAUUUACUAGUAACCCAUGCUCGUAUAAACAGUUUUUACUGGCAGAUUGUGAUGUUUUUGAGACGUGACUUUAGACUACUAUUUUGACCCAAAAUGACUCUGUAUUUCUAUUUUAUGAAGAUUAGUAUGUCUAUUUUUGAUCAGUAUAAAUUUGGUAGCAAUCAAGCUUGUAAAUUAAUUAUGAUCAAUUCUAAAGUAAGUGUAACUCAUUGCUGAAAUUCUGUUUGACAACUUUAUGUUGGUUGUGAUGUCUAUUUUAUUAUGUCUAAUAUAUAAAGACAUUUUCUUUAGGUACAUCUUUAAAAGAAUAUAUUAACGAGUGUUUGCCCAAGUGGGAGAAUUAGUGAACGAAAAUUGGGCUUCACACUCAUUAAACUUAUUUGCAAGUAUAAACUCUGAAAACUUAGUGGGAGUUGUUCUAAAAUUUUGAGCAUUAAGUGGAUUUUCAUGAAUCUAUUAAAGCGUUAUUCUAUCUUCCAUGGAUUUGUGUUACUUGAAUGUCUAUAAUAUGUUUAAGUUGCACAAAUGGAUACUUGAUAUAUGCGUACAUUUUUCUGUUAUUUGCAAUCAUUUGGAUUUCUUGGUUGAUCAUUGUUUUGAGGCUCAUAAAGACUUAGCAUAAAUAUGGACUUAUUAAUACAUAUAAGAUGGUUGUUGGAUGCAAGUUUUAUGUAACAGUGGUGAAUGCUUUCGUGCUUAGUUGUACCUUUUAUUGAGGUAAUAUGCAUUCAUUGACUGAGUAAGGCUAUUCCCAAAGGCAUAUUUUCAAAAAUAUGAUUUAAGUAUUGAUUUGCAAAUUAAGUGACGAUGUUGCAGAUCAGUGGGAGUAUUAGUUUCGUGUUAGUAAUGUCUUACAUUUGCUGAUGACCUAUAAAGUAUGUAUAGAAUCCAUGUAUUCAUAUUAAUCUCCAGUUGGAUUCAUUAAGUCACAUUUUUGUGUGCUAGUCAAUCAUCUGAUGAAAUAUAUAUCAGAUUUCAAGUUGUUAUCAAAUUGCAUAUUAAAUGUCAUGGCAUGGUUUGUGCACUACCUCAGUUGUAAGGAUUUCCAUCUUGCCCGCAGGUGUUGGAAAUCAUUAUGAAAGUAACUGGUAUAGUGCAUAGAUCAGUGUCAAAAACAUAUUAAUUCAUCUUGCUCACAAGUGUUGAAUUAAUUUGUUUUAUGAAGUUUUUGGGAUAUUUUACUUGGACAUGUGCCUAUUUGGUAUUUUCAGUUGUGUCCGUUGGUUACAAACAUUGUUUGUAUUGUUACUGAUCUAAUGAAGGUGAUGCAUGAUUAUUUUGGAGAUGUAUUCACACCUACAGGUUAUGGUGGUUUCAUUAGAUGAAGGAUAUCUGCAUUGGCAGAUUUAAGGCUUCGAAGAAGCAUAAAGUGUAACUUGUGAGUUACAAUAAGGUGGACCUGAGAUGAUAUAAAGUAAGACAUUUUAGUUAAUUUAAAGUUUAUUUAAAGUUUCAUCUCUUGAUCAUAAUUUGUGUUUCAUGUGAAUGAGGAUCUUAGCAUGUGUGAUUAUGAAGGUUCUGGGUUGUGUCAAUCCUACAACCUUGUUAGUUCCAUGUUAAGAAAUGCAUUUGACAGAAGCUGCAUUAAGGACGAGAUGUAAUCACUGUUACAUGGCCACUAAAGUGACAUUAGUCUCCAAUCUCAAGUAUAAACGUGAAUAUUACAUUUUGUAGACCAAGUGGGAGAAUGUUGGAUUUAUCCAAUAUAAAUCAACCUUAAGUGGUCUACUAUAUGUAAUAGGAAUGUAAUAUUGGAGAAUAAUGCUAAUUGUGAUUUGAUCUCUUAAAGAUAUCAAUCCUAUAUAAGGUGUCUUAUAUUGGAAAUAGGAUUGAUAGAAUCCUUAAUUGAAUAUGAUUAUGAUAUUUUACUUGAGAGCCAAGAAAGGAGAGUUUUAGUUUUCCCUUAUGGACGGAAUCUAAGACUUUUUGGCUAGUAUAUAAACACCGGUCCCUGCUAACCCUAGACACG
RNAcentral lists this long non-coding RNA (5817 nucleotides) under Malus domestica (apple). RNAcentral describes it as "long non-coding RNA (MDOM_LNC003985)". The record is from RNAcentral. Lineage: Eukaryota; Viridiplantae; Streptophyta; Magnoliopsida; Rosales; Rosaceae.